UUUUCUGUGGCUCAGUUGGUAGAGCAUUGCGCUAAAAAUGCAAAUGUUUUGGGUUCAAAUAAACGGUAAAG
Non-coding RNA from Danionella cerebrum, 71 nucleotides. The record is from the annotation of a GenBank genome assembly. Lineage: Eukaryota; Metazoa; Chordata; Actinopteri; Cypriniformes; Danionidae.